CCACUAAACCCAGCUGCUCGUAGUUGGAUUACGAAGUGGUGUUUAAAUGUCAUUUUGGUUUGUUUGUCUUUCGGGGCAUUCAGGUCAACUUGGCUUUUACUCACUGUUGUCAUUGUCUUUGCCCAAGGUAUAUGCCUUGUGUGCAUGGCAUUGACCUUCUAUUUUAUAGUAAUGUUGUAUCUUUCGGGGUACAUUCAUUCCAUAUAGUUUACUUUGAAAAAAUUAGGGUGUUUAAAGCAGGCGAAAAGGCUUCGGAAUAUAUUAGCAUGGGAUAAUAGAAUACGAUCUAGGUCGUAAUUUGUUGGUUUCUACGGCUUAGGUAAUGAUUGACAGGGAUAGUUGGGGUCGCUCGUAUUGAGUUGUCAGAGGUGAAAUUCUAGGAUUAACUCAAGACGAACUAAUGCGAAAGCAUUCGGCAAGGAUGUUUUCAUUAAUCAAGAACGAAAGUUGGGGGAUCGAAGAUGAUCAGAUACCGUCGUAGUCUCAACUGUAAACUAUGUCGACCGAGGAUCCGGUAGCGUUACAUGGAUGACCUUCCGGGCACUCUGUGAGAAAUCAUAAGUAUUUGGAUUUCGGGGGGAGUAUGGUCGCAAGGCUGAAACUUAAAGGGAUUGACGGAAGGGCACCACCAGGAGUGGAAUCUGCGGCUUAAUUUGACCCAACACGGGAAAACUUACCAGGUCCGGACACAGUGAGGAUUGACAGAUUGAGAGCUCUUUCUUGAUUUUGUGGGUGGUGGUGCAUGGCCGUUUUUAGUUGGUGGAGUGAUUUGUCUGGUUAAUUCCGUUAACGAACGAGACCUUAACCUAUUAAAUAGCUGCGCGAACCCAGGUUCUUUAACCAUUCUCUCCUUCGGGGGGGCGUGGUAUCAUUAUUUUGCUUUUCACUUUCGGGUGGGAGGUAGGGUAGUGAUAGGGCCUGAGAUGAGUUGGUGAUUUGGCUUCUUAGAGGGACUACUUGCAUCCUUAGCAAGGGGAGGUUUGAGGCAAAAACAGGUCUGUGAUGCCCUUCGAUGUUCUGGGCUGCACGCGCGUUACACUGGCGCAUGCAAAGAGUUUAAAAUUCCUGUCCCGAUGGGGUUGGGAAAUCUUUUUAAAGUGCGUCGUGAUGGGGAUAGAGCAUUGAAAUUAUUGCUCUUGAACGAGGAAUUCCUAGUAAUUGCAGGUCAUCAACCUGCAAUGAUUACGUCCCUGCCCUUUGUACACACCGCCCGUCGCUCCUACCGAUGGUUGAACCGAUGAGGACUCGGGAUGAUCUUAUUAGAUCGGUCGGUCGAAAGAUCGAUAGACUAUUAGGUCAGAACUUGUUCAAAUCUUUUUAA
RNAcentral lists this ribosomal RNA (1321 nucleotides) under metagenome. RNAcentral's name for it is "SSU rRNA". It matches the Rfam family "Eukaryotic small subunit ribosomal RNA", at positions 606 to 1772 of the family's 1831-position model. The record is from RNAcentral.